RNAcentral lists this long non-coding RNA (2134 nucleotides) under Anser cygnoides (Swan goose). RNAcentral's name for it is "lncRNA (ENSACDG00005018513.1)". Lineage: Eukaryota; Metazoa; Chordata; Aves; Anseriformes; Anatidae. The record is from RNAcentral.
AUGUCUCUAUUGCCGUUCUUUCAAAGGAAAUUUCUGGAAACACCUCCAGGGAAAAGGUAUAUACUUUUGUGCAUGUGUGUGUUAAAUUUUACUAUUUUGAAUGGAAAUUUUUACUCCAGCCACAGGGUAAAAACAGCAGCACUGGGAGUCCAAAUGCUGUGGGUGUCUGAAGAGUCCGUGAGCACUGGGGUGAAGGUGCUGGGGUCGCUGUACUUCUGCUUUUCAGAGUCCAGACCAAUCCUCCAAGCUCAGAAACCAUCUAUGGUUUAUAACACCUGCCCUGCAGUCUCCCUGCCAAGAAGUAUGACACAGAUUCUCUCCUCUAAAAUGAAGUUUCCAGACCUCAAGGACUGGAUAUUGCAUCAUCAUUCUCUCGUGAAAGCCUCAAGAUCUGCUAUGUGGAAAAAAAGACAUCUGUUUGGGAUCAGUCGGUGGGACAGUAAGAAGACAAUCUGAAGAAAGACACGAAAGGUCAGAGGUUUUCCAAAGAGGGGGAUAUAUGGGAUGGCUGAUAACAACAAAUUGCCCCAACAAGUCAUUUUUAUUAAUCUCAGCCUGCAGUUACUGGGAGGCUUUUCUUUUAGAAAGAAAAGCUCCCGCUCUCCACGGCCUAUGAUGGAUUGAUGUGAAGGAUGGGCUGCUCCCCGCCACCCUUUGAGCCAUGUGUGAAGCAAACAGGGACCCCAUGGAGGUUUAUCACAACUGAAGCCAGGGAAAUAAGCAAAAUAAGACCCAAAGCUUAGACAAAGCAGAAGAGAGAAAACAACACACAUGGAAAAUGAAGACCCAAAGAAGAUCACUACAUUUGUGUUUCUCAUUUACCUCUAUGGCCAUGCUUGGAGUUCAGGUACAGCUUUAACAAUUAAGAGACUAAAUAUCCACACACAAAAGAUUAGAUUUAGUCAGUCACGUGUUUUCUGGUUUCUGACCUUUUGUUUCUCAUUUUAAUUGCAUUUUCUAGUUCUGCAGACAAAUUGAAAAGGUCGUGAGUGGAGGCUGCUGCUCUGCUCACCAUGGGGUCCAUGGCAGGUCUUGAGGGGGAGCAGCUACAGGGUGGUGCUGGGUUCUUCAGGCAGUUUAAAGAAAAAAGAAGGAACAUACAGGCUUGGAAUGAAUUUAUCAAAAUUGCAUCAGUUAACGUAUAGGAAAAAAAUGUAAAUGCUAUGGAUAAAUUAAACUCAGAUGGAUUAUGGAUUAUUUCACAUUGCAGUGUAACUAUCUCCUUGGGUUUUCAGAUUGUUCCUGUGCAAGUUUCUGAAUCCAUUGGCUAAAUUUCAAUCAGAUCUUACAGAGCAGGGAAGAGGUUUCAAAGGUAAUUACAUUCUUACAAAAUGUGAAAAAAAUAGGCAACUCAAUAAGAAAAAGGUAGUGUAUCCCAACAGAGAGAAAAAUCAUUGUGUGAGCUCGAAGUCUAGCAGGCACCAGAGAACUCGAUGAGAGCAAAUGCCUUUAUAGACAUACAAAUUCCAGACAAAGCUUUUGGUUGCAGCUAGGAUCUGCAACCUGUCACGAGACAUAAACCUGCUCCAUCUGCUCCCCUGCUCAGGGAUCACGCAUUGUCGAGGGAGAGGUGUGCUCGUCUUGCUCCUGACACAGGGUUGGGGGAGUCCCUUCUCACCCACAAAUGCAGAUGGAGCAUCUCUAAUUACCCCAGCCCAAAGUAACACCUGCAUCAAGCUGUACUGAGCAGGAGACAGCACCUGCAAGGCAGGAGGAACACAAGAGGAGGCCGUCACCCUACUCGAGUGCUCUACAGACUUGGUGCUGGAGAGCUGUUGGCCCUAGUCUACUUUCUGCAAGAGCCUGGAGUGGUGUUUUCUAUUAUUCAGAACAAAGAGAGUAGAUGAAUGCAAUCAACACUGGAAGAUUGAUCUGGCAGUGUAAGUUAUUUAUUCUUGGUCUAUAACUACAUUGAGCACUGAAGAUUCAUACUACUCUGCUCAUUUCAAUGCAGUUUUUUUUUUUUUCAAACAGUCAUUUCUGGGACCUUUUCCCCAAUACCCCCUGAGAAAAUUCAAGAGUUUCAAAACGCAUCUGGAAAAGGGACUUCACGCAGGAAUUUUCUGGGUAGUUCAAAUUACCUUAGCUUGGGUUGCAAUGAUUUUGUUAGAAAUAAACCCAAAAAUUCAAGGCA